CGCACAGGGAAGCGACGUUGAUAGCCGC
This 28-nucleotide small RNA is filed under the name Bombyx mori (domestic silkworm). Its description in RNAcentral is "ovarian small RNA-14316". The record is from RNAcentral. Lineage: Eukaryota; Metazoa; Arthropoda; Insecta; Lepidoptera; Bombycidae.